Molecule: long non-coding RNA, 2074 nt
Filed under: Pelobates cultripes (western spadefoot toad)
Lineage: Eukaryota; Metazoa; Chordata; Amphibia; Anura; Pelobatidae
Source: RNAcentral
GUGAAUCUGCCAAUUAAGCUGCUCUGAGUCAUGUGAUCGCUGUGUCAUCCCAUGAUGUGGAUGGGUGGGAUUUGCACGUCUUGUCGUUAACGGCUUAAUUGUUAUCCAUUGGGAGUGGCUGGAGGAACUUAAUCAUUAUGUUUGUGCUGCUGUGACCAUGGCUGGAAAAUAUAAAUAAUGGCAAGUAGCAAGGGAGGCAGCAUAAUCAUUAAGAUUCAAUAGACCUAAAGUAAGGAAAAUUUGAAAGAAAAAAAAUAAUCACUGUGCUGCUUUAUGUAUUGUUUUAGUUUGUUUUCAGGGUUAAUUACUAAAGUUAGAAUUUUCAGGAAUUCAAAGAGUGCAUCAUUUACCUGGGGAAGAAAUGACAGGCAGGCUCCCAUUUUUGUGGAUGCUACUUCGACACAUACCACCUACCUAAGGAUUGUUGCAGACCACAUACACACCUUCAUGGCAAUGGAUGAAGCAAGGGCCUCUUUCAGCAGGACCAUGCACCCUGUCACACUGCAAAAAUUGUUCAGGAAUAGUUUGAGGAACAUGACAAAGAGUUCAGGGUGUUGCCAUGGCCUCCAAAUGUGCCAUAUCACAAUCCUAUUGAGUAUGUGUGGGAUGUGCUGAUCGUGUUUUGGUGCCAGAUACCACAGGACACAUCCAGAGGUCUUGUGGAGUCCAUGCAUCGAUGGAUCAGAGCUAUUUUGGCAGCAUGACGGGGACCACCAUUAUAUAAGCCAGGACGUUUCAAUGUUGUGGCAGAUUAGUGUAUAAAUAAUAGAAAUGUUGAUAUUCCUGUAGUUAUGUGAUAUAUAAUGAAUUUAAUGCAUUUGGGGAGAAUUUAUGUUAAAGUGAACAUUAAAUGGUAGAGACUUGGGAACAAUUAUAGAUCACAAACUAGGCAACAGUAUGCAAUGUUGGUUGGCUUUUGCAAAAGCAAGUCAAAGCAAGUUCUGAUUCACAUGACUUAAAUAUAAUUUUGCACUGAAUAGGGGGUGCAAUUUUGGCACCAAUUUUAAAGAAGGAUAUUGCAGAACUAGAAAAAGUGAGCUACAAAACUAGUAAGGGAGAUGGAAAACAUUUGUUACAUGGAAAGGCUAGAAAAAAAUAGAUUUGUUUCAUAUAUAUAUAUAUAUAUACAAAAAAGCAUCUUAGAGGGUAUAUGGUAGUACUAUACAAAUCUAUACAUGUUCAGUAUAAACCGCGAUGUACUAAGCUGUUCAUUAGCAGGUAUAAACAACAUACAAGAGGCCACCCAUUGAGAUUGGAAGAAAGGCGGUUUCGCUUACAGCAGAGGAAAAAGUUAAUACAUGUAAGAACAAUACAGAUGUGGCAUUCUCUGGUUAAAGAGGUAGUGUUAUCAGAUUCUAUAGGUAAUUUUUUAAAAAGACGCUGAUGCCUUUUUUGCAUAAACAAAAUAUUCAAGGAUAUAAUUGAUAUGUAUGUAAACAGGUUUGUAGUGGAGGACUUUCUUCCUUGAAUUGUUAUUGUACUGGAACAAGGUGCUGAAACGUGAAUAUGUCUCUCCGCACCUAGUAACUGUACGACACAGUGCUGAGAGUACAACAAACUUUUAUUCAGGGACAAGUUCUUUUAUAGCCAGACCCCCAGCAUGGGGUCUCCAUACAGUGACAUACAAUCCCUGCCCAGGCGUCUGUGUCUUGGAGAUAAUUGAGUCAAAGACCAGUAAAUUGAUUAUCUCCCAGAUACAGAGGACCAAAUAUAAAAACACGAAAGUACCCAAAAGCACAGUAAAAUUAUACAGGAACCCCACAUGUCUUAUAUCACCAAAUAGCCUUGACCAGAGCGCCCAAGUUGUCCAAAUAGGGCUCAGAUACAUGCAGUGUAGGGGAAUCUGCAUCGGGGCAAAGUUCUGACUGGGCGCACACGUGGGUAAUGCCCAAAAUAGUUCCAGGAGAGAUGGGUUUCGGCCGGUCAGCUUUCAGGAGUUCCUGUGGGUGAAGAAAUGGGUGCUUUCACUGGCUCUUAGGGAGUGAUGGUUCCCCCAGUCCAUAAUAACUUCCCUGCUAUUAGCGCUCUCCUAGCAUGUCUACAGGUGAUACUCGAAAAAUUACAAUAUCGUGCA